GACGAACGCUGGCGGCGUGCCUAAUACAUGCAAGUUGAGCGCUGAAGGUUGGUACUUGUACCGACUGGAUGAGCAGCGAACGGGUGAGUAACGCGUGGGGAAUCUGCCUUUGAGCGGGGGACAACAUUUGGAAACGAAUGCUAAUACCGCAUAAAAACUUUAAACACAAGUUUUAAGUUUGAAAGAUGCCAUUGCAUCACUCAAAGAUGAUCCCGCGUUGUAUUAGCUAGUUGGUGAGGUAAAGGCUCACCAAGGCGAUGAUACAUAGCCGACCUGAGAGGGUGAGCGGCCACAUUGGGACGGAGACACGGCCCAAAGGCAUACGGGAGGCAGCAGUAGGGAUUCUUCGGCAAUGGACGAAAGUCUGAACGAGCAACGCCGAAGGAGGGAAGAGGGGUGUCGGAUCGGAAAACACGGUUGGCAGAGAAGAACGUUGGUGAGAGUGGAAAGCUCAUCAAGUGACGGUAACUACUCAGAAAGGGACGGCUAACUACGUG
Molecule: ribosomal RNA, 497 nt
Filed under: uncultured bacterium
Lineage: Bacteria
Description: partial 16S ribosomal RNA
Rfam family: Bacterial small subunit ribosomal RNA
Source: RNAcentral